RNAcentral lists this ribosomal RNA (622 nucleotides) under uncultured bacterium. RNAcentral describes it as "bacterial SSU rRNA". It matches the Rfam family "Bacterial small subunit ribosomal RNA", at positions 52 to 661 of the family's 1533-position model. The record is from RNAcentral.
CACAUGCAAGUCGAGGGGAAACGACAUCGAAAGCUUGCUUUUGGUGGGCGUCGACCGGCGCACGGGUGAGUAACGCGUAUCCAACCUGCCCACCACUUGGGGAUAACCUUGCGAAAGUAAGACUAAUACCCAAUGAUAUCUCUAGAAGACAUCUGAAAGAGAUUAAAGAUUUAUCGGUGAUGGAUGGGGAUGCGUCUGAUUAGCUUGUUGGCGGGGUAACGGCCCACCAAGGCAACGAUCAGUAGGGGUUCUGAGAGGAAGGUCCCCCACAUUGGAACUGAGACACGGUCCAAACUCCUACGGGAGGCAGCAGUGAGGAAUAUUGGUCAAUGGACGAGAGUCUGAACCAGCCAAGUAGCGUGCAGGAUGACGGCCCUAUGGGUUGUAAACUGCUUUUAUAAGGGAAUAAAGUGAGUCUCGUGAGACUUUUUGCAUGUACCUUAUGAAUAAGGACCGGCUAAUUCCGUGCCAGCAGCCGCGGUAAUACGGAAGGUCCGGGCGUUAUCCGGAUUUAUUGGGUUUAAAGGGAGCGUAGGCCGGAGAUUAAGCGUGUUGUGAAAUGUAGAUGCUCAACAUCUGCACUGCAGCGCGAACUGGUUUCCUUGAGUACGCACAAAGUGGG